AGAGUUUGAUCCUGGCUCAGGACGAACGCUGGCGGCGUGCCUAACACAUGCAAGUCGAACGGGGUAUUUCUUCGGAGAUACUUAGUGGCGAACGGGUGAGUAACGCGUGAGAAACCUGCCUUUCAGUGGGGGACAACAGUUGGAAACGACUGCUAAUACCGCAUGAUGUUAUUUGGGGGCAUCCCUGAAUAACCAAAGAUUUAUUGCUGAAAGAUGGUCUCGCGUCUGAUUAGCUAGAUGGCGGGGUAACGGCCCACCAUGGCGACGAUCAGUAGCCGGUCUGAGAGGAUGAACGGCCACAUUGGGACUGAGAUACGGCCCAGACUCCUACGGGAGGCAGCAGUGGGGAAUAUUGGGCAAUGGGGGAAACCCUGACCCAGCAACGCCGCGUGAAGGAAGAAGGCCUUCGGGUUGUAAACUUCUUUUACCAGGGACGAACACAAUGACGGUACCUGGAGAAAAAGCAACGGCUAACUACGUGCCAGCAGCCGCGGUAAUACGUAGGUUGCAAGCGUUGUCCGGAUUUACUGGGUGUAAAGGGCGUGUAGGCGGAGAUGCAAGUUGGGAGUGAAAUCCCGGGGCUCAACCCCGGAACUGCUUUCAAAACUGCAUCCCUUGAGUAUCGGAGAGGCAAGCGGAAUUCCUAGUGUAGCGGUGAAAUGCGUAGAUAUUAGGAGGAACACCAGUGGCGAAGGCGGCUUGCUGGACGACAACUGACGCUGAGGCGCGAAAGCGUGGGGAGCAAACAGGAUUAGAUACCCUGGUAGUCC
RNAcentral lists this ribosomal RNA (770 nucleotides) under uncultured bacterium. Its description in RNAcentral is "bacterial SSU rRNA". It matches the Rfam family "Bacterial small subunit ribosomal RNA", at positions 8 to 796 of the family's 1533-position model. The record is from RNAcentral.